This 217-nucleotide ribosomal RNA is filed under the name Tripos fusus. RNAcentral's name for it is "partial Bacterial large subunit ribosomal RNA". Lineage: Eukaryota; Dinophyceae; Gonyaulacales; Ceratiaceae. The record is from RNAcentral.
GUUACAAAGGGGAUGAGCCCAAAGCAAUGGUUAAAGUUGAAGAGAAUUACAGUUUUGCUCUUUGGUUCUAAUUAACGUAGCUGCCCAAAAGUUGGAUUAAUAGUAUCCAUCUCUUAACAAGUGUGUAGUAUCUUAUGGGCUAAAUUCUCUUGCUAUCUUUUUAACAAAGGUUUAAUUACUGAAACUCUGGGAGUCUGCAGAUAGAAUAGUGGCCAAG